Molecule: ribosomal RNA, 253 nt
Filed under: uncultured bacterium
Lineage: Bacteria
Description: partial 16S ribosomal RNA
Rfam family: Bacterial small subunit ribosomal RNA
Source: RNAcentral
UACAGAGGCCCCAAGCGUUACUGAGAAUCACUGGGUUUAAAGGGUGCGUAGGUGGCGCGUUAAGUCCGUUGUGAAAUCCCUGGGCUCAACCCAGGAAAUGCUUCGGAUACUGGCGUGCUUGAGGCUAGUAGGGGUCACUGGAACUGACGGUGGAGCGGUGAAAUGCGUAGAGAUCGGAAAGAACACCAACGGCGAAAGCACUCUGCUGGGCCGACACUGACACUGAGAGACGAAAGCUAGGGGAGCGAAUGGG